Molecule: ribosomal RNA, 205 nt
Filed under: Salmonella enterica subsp. enterica serovar Blockley
Lineage: Bacteria; Pseudomonadati; Pseudomonadota; Gammaproteobacteria; Enterobacterales; Enterobacteriaceae
Description: partial 23S ribosomal RNA
Rfam family: Bacterial large subunit ribosomal RNA
Source: RNAcentral
GUUGGGUAGGGGAGCGUUCUGUAAGCCUGCGAAGGUGGCCUGUGAGGGUUGCUGGAGGUAUCAGAAGUGCGAAUGCUGACAUAAGUAACGAUAAAGCGGGUGAAAAGCCCGCUCGCCGGAAGACCAAGGGUUCCUGUCCAACGUUAAUCGGGGCAGGGUGAGUCGACCCCUAAGGCGAGGCCGAAAGGCGUAGUCGAUGGGAAAC